UGGAGCUAUAUAAAGGCCACGAGGCUGGCUCCUUAUUCAUCUGACCUGGGCUCUGGGGUGAAGGACCUUUCAACGCAUCUUCAGCCAGCACUGGCUCUGCGUGUGGGCGGGAGCUCCCCAGCCACCGCCAGGCCUUUGUGGUGUGACCCGGCCACAGGGCCUUGGCCUUGGCGCUGGCAGCAUUUGGGCCAGCUCCUCUGUUCCUGUGGCUGUAGCCGGAGGGUGGGGUGUCCUGUGCAUUGCAGGAUGUUGUUGAGUGGUGCCCUCAGCCCCCCUGCCCAACCCCUGACACCAAAAAUGUCCCAGACAUUGGCAGCUGUCCCCAGGGGAGUGGUCCCAGUCUGAGGCCCACCAACCUAGAGAGUGAUGUCUGGGUGGGACAGCUGGUUCCCGAGGCAGGGCGGGCAUCUUCUGGCCAGGGCCUUGGGGAGGGAGGGGAGUUGGAACCAGGAUGGGGCUGGCCGCUCCCCUCAGUAAACCUCCCCCCUCCCCUGCAGAGUAAGUCGGGUCAGAGUCCGGCUUUACUGAGGGUUUGAGGCUGGCUGCUUCGGUGCAGGGGUGCUGAAUGAAAUGGGUCCUCUCAAACUCUGCUCCACACUCGAGCCACGGCUGCCUAGGGUGAGCAGUCAGGGCUUCCUACCCACUCGUAGUAAAAGGUGACUGGUGGUGGUUCAGUCCUAAACUGUGCCACUGGGUAGCGCCAGUGUCACUGCCAGGCCCUACAUGGUCAUCCUGAUCACAAGGCCUCCAAGAACUCACUGGGAUCACCUGUCAUCUCCCUGCGCAGGGCUAUGGUGGGCACCCAGCAACCUUCCAGGCCCUGUAACUGCUCACCUUGGUGACACCCAGAAGCUUGGCUCUUCACAGCCCAGGCCAGAGGGACCUUUGCUAAAGUCACUGUGUGCAUUUUCAGAUGACAGCCACUCUUGGGAUGGGACCCCUCUCCUCCCUGGAACUCUCCACAGGUCUCUGGCCAAUAACCAUCUGUCAGGUGACCAGGUCCUCUGGCCACCAUGCAGGCCCUCUCCCCUCUGUCAAGACCAGGACUUCCCACCCAGCCCCUGACGGUGUGCGGCUGCCUGUCUGUCUGGAGGGGCUCCAGCUCCCGGCAGCUGUCCCUGGAUGCCAUGAAGGUGCCUCUGGACAUUGCCAGGUGUCCUCGGAGAACCGAGACAGCAAGAAGCUCCUAGCCCUGGGUGAUGAGAAAAAUGGGAGAGAAUCUCAGGGUUGCUGCCAGUGGAGCAUGGAGCAGUUGUGUUUUUCCAGGAAAAGCCAAGCAGAAAAGGCUAAGUUGGCUUUUUUCUCCUGGGUGACUUUGGACAGGGGAACAGGAGCCUGA
RNAcentral lists this long non-coding RNA (1339 nucleotides) under Cavia porcellus (domestic guinea pig). RNAcentral describes it as "lncRNA (ENSCPOG00000031305.1)". The record is from RNAcentral. Lineage: Eukaryota; Metazoa; Chordata; Mammalia; Rodentia; Caviidae.